Molecule: ribosomal RNA, 468 nt
Filed under: uncultured bacterium
Lineage: Bacteria
Description: partial 16S ribosomal RNA
Rfam family: Bacterial small subunit ribosomal RNA
Source: RNAcentral
GACGAACGCUGGCGGCGUGCUUAACACAUGCAAGUCGAACGGAAAGGCCCUGCUUUUGUGGGGUGCUCGAGUGGCGAACGGGUGAGUAACACGUGAGUAACCUGCCCUUGACUUUGGGAUAACUUCAGGAAACUGGGGCUAAUACCGGAUAGGAGCUCCUGCUGCAUGGUGGGGGUUGGAAAGUUUCGGCGGUUGGGGAUGGACUCGCGGCUUAUCAGCUUGUUGGUGGGGUAGUGGCUUACCAAGGCUUUGACGGGUAGCCGGCCUGAGAGGGUGACCGGGCACAUUGGGACUGCGAUACGGCCCAGACUCGUACGGGAGGCAGCAGUGGGGAACAUGGCACAAUGGGCGGAAGCCUGAUGCAGAAACGCCGCGUGCGGGAUGACGGCCUUCGGGUUGUAAACCGCUGUCGCCUGUGACGAAGCGUGAGUGACGGUAAUGGGUAAAGAAGCACCGGCUAACUACGUG